This is a non-coding RNA of Cucurbita pepo subsp. pepo (vegetable marrow), 873 nucleotides long. The record is from RefSeq and is a predicted model, not a curated record. NCBI's taxonomy places the organism in Eukaryota, Viridiplantae, Streptophyta, Magnoliopsida, Cucurbitales, Cucurbitaceae.
ACAUUCAUUCUUAGCCGAAAGCCCAUUACGAAGAUCGCCAUAGUAUUUCCUUUCUUUAAACAAUAAAAAUCGAAAGACAUUCCGCCAAUCGCACCAAUUCCACCACUGGGCUUCGCGCUCCGCUCACCAUCACCACAAAAUCUCGCCUCUAAACCCUUAAUUUCCAUGAUUUUUCUCCCAAAUUCGAAAACCCCAUCUCAAAUUUCUCCGUCUUCUGAAUCCUUCUCCCCUCACAAGUUCUUAAAACCCACCAUUUCAGCGUUGUUAUCGAUUUCCUGUGUUGUUCUUGCAUGAUGUCUAGAUAUGGCGCUGGAUUCUCCCUCGUUUUUCUGCUUUUUCUCGCCGAUUUGGCAACUGGAAACGAACUAAGGUUCACUCAAUCAAAUGGGUCUGUGGCAGCGAUGGUGCCACUGAUCGAGGAGGGGGAAAUGACGAUGAUGGAGAUGAAUGAAACUAGAAGAAAACUGGGUAGCUUCCAAGUAUGUGCUCCUUGUACUUGCUGUGGUGGGGCUAAGGGCCUGUGCUUGCCAUCUCCUUGUUGUUAUGCUAUCAAUUGCAACAUCCCCAACAGACCAUUUGGGUUUUGCUCUUUCACUCCUAAAUCCUGUAAUUGCUUUGGAUGCAAUCUCUAGCUUAUACAUUCAUAUAUCUCUCUGAAAUUUCCUUGCAUAUAUAUAUAUGAUGAUGAUGAUGAUCUUGGUCAUUUGUUAUCUCUGUUGCUCUGUUCUGGAAAUGAUUGAUUUGAAGAACUCUAGAGUUAUGAAACUAGCCGUUCCUAGAGGCCUUGAUGUUGUAUAGAUUCUCUGUAAGUGGCCUGUGUUUGUUCUUGUUCUAAAACUUGUUAGCUUAUUCAAGUUGUUUGAUGAUUGCUUU